This is a long non-coding RNA of Syzygium oleosum, 711 nucleotides long. RefSeq lists it as uncharacterized. The transcript has 3 exons. NCBI's taxonomy places the organism in Eukaryota, Viridiplantae, Streptophyta, Magnoliopsida, Myrtales, Myrtaceae. The record is from RefSeq and is a predicted model, not a curated record.
CUCCAGCAAGGGCUUCUCCAUCGAAAAGGUACUGGCACGCUUGGACUCUCUUUUUUAAUCUUUUUUUCCAAGGGAUUAAUGGCUUCCUGGUAUUUCACGGUCGUGGUAUACAGCUUAAGGACAUUCCCAAUGAGUUUUGAGGCUUUAAAUCAGCGUGCGGUUGCAGUAGUUGUGGAUCCCAUUUAGAGUGUCAAAGGGAAGGUGGUGAUUGAUGCCUUCCGUUUGAUCAACCCACAAACCAUGAUGCUUGGCCAAGAACCCAGGCAGACAACCUCCAACCUUGGACAUCUCAACAAACCGUCCAUCCAAGCAUUGAUCCAUGGGCUGAACAGACACUAUUACUCAAUUGCCAUCAAUUACAGAAAGAAUGAACUGGAGGAAAAAAUGCUACUUAAUCUUCACAAGAAGAAAUGGACAGAUGGCUUGACGCUUCGCCGUUUUGACACACAUUCUCAAACCAAUGAACAGACUGUUCAGGCAAGUCAAGGUCUUAAUCUGUCGCAUCUAGAUUAGAGAAUUGGCUGCACCAGUCACUUAGAGGUGGAUUCUGGACAAUGCAAGACAAGGCCCUCUGCUCAAGCAUAUUUUCAUCUAGUGUCCAUGUUUUCCUAAUUAAUUAAGAUCAAUUAGCUUGCGAUGCAUAUAGACUUUCAUUGAACUGGAUGUUGAGAAGCUGUCGUUUCUUGCAAAACGAAUGAUUGUUUUCAAAUU